RNAcentral lists this long non-coding RNA (1056 nucleotides) under Fukomys damarensis (Damara mole-rat). Its description in RNAcentral is "lncRNA (ENSFDAG00000030161.1)". Lineage: Eukaryota; Metazoa; Chordata; Mammalia; Rodentia; Bathyergidae. The record is from RNAcentral.
AUGAAAUCUUUAUUCCUGGCAAAGAGAGAGACAAAGGACACUCGUGCCUGUGCCCUUUCUCAGUACAGAGCCAUCUCUGUUUCUGCCUUUUCCAACUCAAAACCCCUCAAACUUCAAGACUUUUCCCUCCCUACUGGGCAUAUUGUCUCAAGCAUCAGAGCAGUAAAAUGUUCUCCAAAGGACUCCGCGCUAAGGAACCUUGUGGGAAAUCUGAAGAGAAAGAAGCCAGAGAAUAAAAACCACCUUUUCUGUUUAGCUCUUGCGUCUCUUCCAGCGAUACCAAUAUCCAUUCACCAUAAAGAACUUUCAAGCACUCAAGAGCCAUCAGAAGACGUUGCUUUGGAGGCCGGGCUGCCGAGGAAGCUGAUGUGCACGAAUCCUGGGGCAUCCCAGCGGUCCCACAACUUUACCUGGGUAAUCUCAGUGUCGACUCUACCUUCACAGCUGCCAUUGCUUCCCUGAACGGUACCUCACACUUCAACUAAAUGCGCAAGACUCUAGGAUUGUCAAUGGGGAGGGGGAUUCCCCCUCUUUCACAGUUGUGACUUGAACUCUUAUCUCUGCCCAGGCAUCUCCUCUGCUCCCUUCAAACUAUUUUAAGAUUUCAGAGGGACAUAGAAGUAGGAAAAGGAUUGGCUAAUAGAUAUACUGGAUUCUGUCUCUACAGCCAUGGACAAGCUAACCAACCACUCAGUCUCAGUCUUCCCACCUGUAAGCUGGGUGCAAAAAUAUCUUUCUCACAAGAACUCUGAAGUUAGCAUGUCAUGUAAUAGAUACUCCUGGCAAUCAGGGUCCAGUUUGGACAUUAAUAACAUGUACACUUAAGUUGUUUGUGAAGAUUUUCAAAUGUGAACAAUUUAAAAAUUUGUGGGCAGAGCUAAGCCUCAGAAGCCUAGACAGUGUUAAGCCCCAUACUUUCAUCUAAAUGCAGUAAGCUAAAAUUCUCAGAUGGACUUUAAAUUAAAUAGAUAUCAUAUAUCAUAAUUACCUCCUAUCGAGUACAUAGACACAUUAAAGUUAUAGAAAACACAUGUUAAGUUUACAUUUAAAUUUCCC